GGGGCUGCAAGGUUUCUACGUAUAAUUCUGUAUACAUAAGUUUUGAGGAUGAAAAUGAGCUGCGCUUCGCUAAUAUUAGCUCAAUAAUUUAUAUGGAAAACAUCAAAUUGUACAAUUUUCUAAAAAUAGAAUUCUAGCCCACAAUUGUUGAAUAUUUUUUAGAAAAUCAGUCUAUAUUUUCUAGUUUAUAAGCUGAUUUGUUUUAAAUUAGAUGCACUUUAUAAUUGAUUUAAAGAAAAGUUUUGCAUUGACAAAGUACGUGAUUUACCCUCGUGACUGAUUUAAGUUAGUCAAAUUAAUAUACAGGAUUAAUAUGGACGUGGGUUCGAAUCCCACCAGCUCCA
Molecule: non-coding RNA, 344 nt
Filed under: Rhodymenia pseudopalmata
Lineage: Eukaryota; Rhodophyta; Florideophyceae; Rhodymeniales; Rhodymeniaceae
Source: RNAcentral